CUCUCUGUGUGUAUGCAGAGGUGUGCACGUCUUUGUGCAGUUGUGCGUGUGUGCGCACAGCCGUGGGUGCGAGCGCGUCUCCCGCGCACGCCAGGGCUGGCCUUUGUGUCCGCGGGUAGAUAAAAGCGGAAAAUCCGCAGACUCUGAGGCCCAGCCACAGCGGCGCCCCUGCGUGAGGACAGCGAGAGAUUCCAGAAGCCUAGCCAGGCCUUCGCCCUUUGCUCCACCCUCCCCGCCCCCGCCCUUCUGGAGAGAUACCACCCAACUGCAGAACGGGGACAGGAAGAAGGGGUGGGGGCGGGCAGCGGACUGCAACUCUGAAGAGCUAAGGAGAGUGGAAAGGGUAUGGGAGGGGCAGGCAGAAAGAGGAAGCGGUGAGAACUGGAGAUAAGGUAGGGACAGAGAGAUGACCACCGUUGGUGGCCGAUAACGUCGUCGUUGUUAGCACCCAGGCCUACCUUGGUUGCCUGCAAUGGUGACUCUGAACACUAGCCAUCUCGGAUCCCAUUCCAUGCGUAUUGGCUGGGUCCUAAGACCAGCAGGUGACCUGUCCACGGGUUGAAGGGACUUACUUGUUCUUGUGAGCAGGCUCCUGAAUACAAUAGUGUCCAACAGAGUCUACUGUCUGCAGUUUUCUUGGUAUCCUUGGAAAUCUUGACUUUCCUCAAGUUCCAUACCACGCCAGAAGCUGCAAGCAGGUGAUCGGGCUCUCUGAUCCAUUCCUAUCAUUGUGACGCCAUUUGCCCUGAAGCCCUCAACAAAACUGUUUUCAAACAGCACCAGGUCCUUGAAAAUCAAGAGCUAAAUAAACUUCUUUAUAAACA
Molecule: non-coding RNA, 824 nt
Organism: Myodes glareolus (Bank vole)
Lineage: Eukaryota; Metazoa; Chordata; Mammalia; Rodentia; Cricetidae
Source: RefSeq, a predicted model, not a curated record